AUUGAACGCUGGCGGCAGGCCUAACACAUGCAAGUCGAACGGUAACAGGAAACAGCUUGCUGUUUCGCUGACGAGUGGCGGACGGGUGAGUAAUGUCUGGGAAACUGCCUGUUGGAGGGGGAUAACUACUGGAAACGGUAGCUAAUACCGCAUAACGUCGCAAGACCAAAGAGGGGGACCUUCGGGCCUCUUGCCAUCGGAUGUGCCCAGAUGGGAUUAGCUAGUAGGUGGGGUAACGGCUCACCUAGGCGACGAUCCCUAGCUGGUCUGAGAGGAUGACCAGUCACACUGGAACUGAAACACGGUCCAGACUCCUACGGGAGGCAGCAGUGGGGAAUAUUGCACAAUGGGCGCAAGCCUGAUGCAGCCAUGUCGCGUGUAUGAAGAAGGCCUUCGGGUUGUAAAGUACUUUCAGCGGGGAGGAAGGGAGUAAAGUUAAUACCUUUGCUCAUUGACGUUACCCGCAGGAGAAGCACCGGCUAACUCCGUGCCAGCCGCCGCCGUAA
Molecule: ribosomal RNA, 506 nt
Filed under: uncultured bacterium
Lineage: Bacteria
Description: partial 16S ribosomal RNA
Rfam family: Bacterial small subunit ribosomal RNA
Source: RNAcentral